CCCUUAGAUGUCCGGGGCUGCACGCGCGCUACACUGAAGGAAUCAGCGUGCUAAAACCAUUGUCGAAAGGCAUUGGUAAACCCAUUAAAAUCCCACGUGAUUGGGAUCGGGAAUUGCAAUUAUUUCCCUUGAACGAGGAAUUCCCAGUAAGUGUGGGUCAUAAGCUCGCGUUGAUUACGUCCCUGCCCUUUGUACACACCGCCCGUCGCUGCCCGGGACUGAGCCGUUUCGAGAAAAGCGGGGACUGCUGCUGUCGGGGCUUUCGGGCCUUGGCUUCGGUGGAAACCGCUUUAAUCGCAGUGGCUUGAACCGGGCAAAAGUCGUAACA
This 328-nucleotide ribosomal RNA is filed under the name uncultured eukaryote. RNAcentral describes it as "partial 18S ribosomal RNA". It matches the Rfam family "Eukaryotic small subunit ribosomal RNA", at positions 1470 to 1796 of the family's 1831-position model. The record is from RNAcentral.